Molecule: long non-coding RNA, 577 nt
Filed under: Elaeis guineensis (African oil palm)
Lineage: Eukaryota; Viridiplantae; Streptophyta; Magnoliopsida; Arecales; Arecaceae
Description: long non-coding RNA (EGUI_LNC004907)
Source: RNAcentral
CGUCUGACAUCCAUAACUAAUAACCUCGAUUCAGAGGAAGUGGAAGAGAUUUCUCCCUCCAAAGGGCUAGAAUGUGGUCUAACGACCUAUAGACCUAGAUCUAACAAAUUUUCAAUUUUCGACUAGUGGCCUAUGGGCUCAACCUCCAUAAUAAAGAGGUUUGAAGGGGACCCUCAGGUGAGGAACAAGCAACCACAAAACAAUAGAAGAGGAGGAAGGAGAACUCUGUUCGCUCUCCUUGCUUCUGCUUUCUUUUCUCUCUACUAUUCUCAAAGCUUCGAAUGACUUAAGUAUUAGACGAUCCCCCACUAGAGUAGCCCCAAUGAGUGUGGACUUCUUUUGCAAGUACCCUCUAGCAUCAUGGAACUCAAGCAGCAUCCUAGUCCAGCCACAUCAGCACCCCUCUAGAGCCUUUGUGGCGACACAAUUUUUGGAUCAUGAUGUUCAUCAAUAUAUAGUAUAUGGCCUGUUGAUACGCACCUUGCAAAAUAUUCAUCCGAUGUCCUAAUAUAUACUUCUAGAUAGAUCGAUACAUAGUUUUUAGAAUAUAACACUCACCAGUAUAUAGUACAUGACU